Molecule: ribosomal RNA, 433 nt
Filed under: uncultured bacterium
Lineage: Bacteria
Description: partial 16S ribosomal RNA
Rfam family: Bacterial small subunit ribosomal RNA
Source: RNAcentral
AACGAACGCUGGCGGCAUGCCUAACACAUGCAAGUCGAACGAGACCUUCGGGUCUAGUGGCGCAUGGGUGCGUAACGCGUGGGAACCUGCCCUUAGGUUCGGUAUAACUCCCCGAAAGGGGUGCUAAUACCGGAUAAUGUCUUCGGACCAAAGAUUUAUCGCCUUUGGAUGGGCCCGCGUUGGAUUAGCUAGUUGGUAGGGUAAUAGCCUACCAAGGCGAUGAUCCAUAGCUGGUCUGAGAGGAUGAUCCGCCACACUGGGACUGAGACACGGCCCAGACUCCUACGGGAGGCAGCAGUAGGGAAUAUUGGACAAUGGGCGAAGGCCUGAUCCAGCAAUGCCGCGUGAGUGAUGAAGGCCUUAGGGUUGUAAAGCUCUUUUACCCGGGAUGAUAAUGACAGUACCGGGAGAAUAAGCUCCGGCUAACUCCGUG